CUGCUUCACGGCAGCGCCUCCAAUCAGGGUCAGUGUCAAGCUUUGCCUCCUGGAGAUUGGAUAGCAAGUCCAGAAAUAUGCUCAUUAGGUCGUCCAGGGGCAGGGUUAGGGAGUGGUCAGUUCUUAAAGGAACAUGCAAUUUUUGUACUUAGUGCACAGGCGUUUUACCCAGAAUUCACAGCGAGAAGGGGGAGGGCCUACUGAAGGGUGUGCUUUUAGAUCUGCGGCUGUCACUAACUAAGGGUCGGGAGCGUCCUGUCUGUUAACAGUCAGUGUCCUGUAACACCAAAUAGCCGCAGGAGAGGACGUACAUCUUGAUGUCUGGAAUGUGUACGGUAACUGAGGAGUCGGUAGAGAUAGUUCUGUUCAUACGAGGGAAAUUCUACAGAAGUCAGUGUCUUCUUCUAACAGGGAAAGAGAGUUUGUUCACCGGGGCCCAUUCAUGGGCUACUGCCAGAGACGUGGGUUUUAGGGCCGGGGUGCGAGGACUCCAUCAAGGCUCACUUUAUCCACACCAUUCCGCCUGACUUCCCGAGCAGCAGCAGCGGCUGCCCCUUCGCCACAUCCCCGAUGGAGGCAGCUUUGUGGAUCUUCGCCAGGUCCUUGACCCGGAGGAGGGAUCGUGCUCUGGGGCCCAAAGCUCGGACCCAAAGCUCGGACCCAAAGCUCGGACCCCGCUCUCCCUCCGCGGGGGUAAGGAGGCUCGAGAGGGAGGCAGCUCUCUCUUGCUGCCCAAGCUGAAAACCAUUUUCAUUUUGCCAGCGGGCUUCAGAGAGGGUCUGCAGAGCUCGCAAGGGGUUCUCCCUUGGCCUCUCAGCUUCUCCAGGCCCUCGCCUACGCUCUAGAAAACUUCCACGGCCGGAGGCUGGAGGUUGAGAGACCCCAGAGCACACAAGUGUAAAAGAUUCAACCCUAGAGAGGCUUGUAGCCCUGGAAAGCCGCGAGGGGGCCUGAACUGCGCAUGCGUCUGUCAGAUCCGCGGGUCCCGCGCAUGGGCCCAAAGAUGCUAUAUAUUAGGAGGGACAUUAAUCAGUUCAGACACUAGAGAUAUGGAUGAACUAAGAAUGAUAGAGAAGACAAAGGGAAGGCAUGAUGUCUGUUUUCAACUAUGUGAAGGGCCAUUGUGAAGACUUGGGUAUCUGUAGAAGAAACUGCUAAAAUCAGUGAUGAGAGGAGCCUGGUUUUGACUUGUAUAAGGAAAAACAAAUUUUAUAGAAACGAAAUGGACUUCUUGUGAGACAAUUCCCUUCAAGUAGAUUCUUACUGUGGCGCAAAAACAAUUCUUACAUUGAUUGCAAGGCUGGACUCCAUGAUUGUUAAGGUCCCUUCCAACAACAGAUAUUUUGAUUCUCUAUAUUAGUUUAUAUCAAACUGUUGCUGGCUUCCAUUAGACUAGAUCUUCCAAGUUGGCUUUGUUUUUAACAUCUAAUGUAGAGCAGAAGCUCGAAGUAUUGUGUUUAUUGAAUUUAGUUCAACCCUCAAAGGAUAAGGAAAUUUCUGCAUAGGGGAAGAGGACAAGUUAUUUUGUAACUGGCCUUGGCUCCUACUUCCCCCCCUUUCUCUCCUUUGCUUUUUCUCCAUUCAUGAUGUGAUGUGUAUUCUCUGCAUUACUAGCGUUCAUACUGUUUAUUCGGCUCCAGAAUCAGUGGACUUGAGAAUACAGAAACGAUGCAUAUUCACCCUGAUGAACAUGUGCUGCUGCUUUUCCUUCUGUCAAAAUAAAUAAAAUAUAAGCUCA
Phascolarctos cinereus (koala) is the source of this 1738-nucleotide long non-coding RNA. RefSeq lists it as uncharacterized. The record is from RefSeq and is a predicted model, not a curated record. Lineage: Eukaryota; Metazoa; Chordata; Mammalia; Diprotodontia; Phascolarctidae.